Motacilla alba alba is the source of this 5972-nucleotide RNA transcript. RefSeq lists it as uncharacterized. The transcript has 13 exons. The record is from RefSeq and is a predicted model, not a curated record. NCBI's taxonomy places the organism in Eukaryota, Metazoa, Chordata, Aves, Passeriformes, Motacillidae.
UGCUCGGCCGGGCCGCGAAGGGAAGCCGCUUCUCCUCCGCCACCAGCGCUGCUGCCACCGACCUGUGCCGCCGCCGGGCGGGGAAGGGGCGGCGUGGGGAUGGCGGUGUCAGCGCGGAGGAGCCGGCGGCUGCUGAGGUACUAAAGUCAAGUGCGGACAGUAACAUCUCCUUGGUUUAGCCAGUUUGAGAUUGAGAAUGGCAGGUUUCUCUUCCUUUGGAUGAUGCUUCAUGCUGAAAAUGCAGUAAGGCUCUGGGAGUGUCAGGAUGAAAUCGGAAUUGAGCCGUAUUCUAAAAGAAUGAAGUCAACAGAAGGGGCUUGUGAGAAACUCCCUGAUGAUGGUAACAGAGGUACUCAGAAGAAAGCAGAUGUUGAGAGAAAAUCAAAUGGUUGGAUACCUACAUGUGCCUUAGAUAACCAAGGGCAACGUGAAAUGCAGAAGCAAGAGAAAAUACCUACUGGUGUCUUGGGAUCCUUGAAUGAAGUUCUCCCUGAAAAUAAUCCAGUGCUUAGUCAGCCAAUUGAUUUAGAAACUGUGCAGAAAAUAAAUCCUCCAUUUACAUCAAUGAAUUACUCUAAAGUUGAAGAAGAGAAGGACCCUUUUAUUACAAAUAAUGUUGAUGAAGAUAAUACUGAAAAAAGCAGUGCAUCAUUCUCAGUAAAUAGAAAUCAAUCAGAUGAAGACUUCUUUACAAGCAAAGAUUUUAUAGGACCUAUUUACAAGCCUGCCAAAAGUAACCAGCAGGACAAAUCUGGCAAUUGCAAUGAAUGUAGGAACAUUGGAGGAGAUGAGAACGAAUUAUAUGAAAACAGAUGUAAAAGAAAGGAGGCGAAGAAGAUGCAGGCUGUUUCUGCCACUGUACCAGAAAUAGAUGAUCAGCUGGAUCAGUUCUAUAAAGAAAUUCACCAGCUGGAAAAUGAAAAUUUAGAUACUGAUGUUCAGGAAAAAGAAACUGUAAUUUCUGAAGAACAACACGCUCCGUUUAACUCUAGUCGGAGCUCACAAGAAAAUUAUCAACCUGUACUUUUGGGCAGUCCACACCCAUUUUAUGAGAAUGGACAGUGUUCUUUGGGGGAACAGAACAGUCACAAAACAAACAAUGAGCAGCAGUUAGUUGAGGAAACAUGUGCCUGGAAAAGUGAAAAUACCUUUAAUGGCCAAAUAGAUACUUGGAACUGCUCAGUGCCUGAAUUCAGACCUGCUUGGCUGACUAGAGCAUCUUUCAAAAAACCUCAGGGACCUUUUCCUCCUAGAUUCAACCAUCAAUCCCAUUUUCAGGUAUUUGAUCCCCCACCACAAAUCCCAAAUGUUCCCCCUUCUCAGAAUGGGGGACUUCCUUAUGAAAGUUACCAUGGAAAUACUGCUAUCAACAGUCAUGGUCCAUUGCUUGGUCAAAAUACCCACUAUUCUGGUCAUACUGACAUCCAUGUGACUCAAGUCUUCAGGAAUGAGAAUAACGAUCAGAAUGGACUCCACAAUAAUGGUUUCUGUGAAACCAGAGAAGAGUGUUGGAAUGAUCCAAAAGCUGACAGUACAGAAGGAAUGCACAACUUUUCUUCAUUGCAGUUAUCUGAAGAAAAAUUCAAUUGUUCACAGAAAUUGCUUCUAAUCUUAAGAGGCCUGCCAGGUUCAGGGAAAUCCACACUUUCUCGUGUUCUCCUUGGUCAGAGUUGUGAUGGCAUUGUGCUCAGCACUGAUGAUUAUUUUCGUCAGCAGUAUGGAUACACCUAUAAUGCUGCUCAGCUUGGGGAUGCCCAUGAGUGGAACCGGAAGAGAGCAAAGCAAGCAAUGGAGCAGGGAAAAUCUCCAGUUAUAAUAGACAACACUAAUACUCAAGCCUGGGAAAUGAAGCCUUAUGUGGAAGUGGCUCUAGAAAAAGGAUAUAGAGUGGAAUUCCAUGAGCCAGAUACUUGGUGGAAGUUUGAUCCUGAAGAACUAGAAAAGAGGAAUAAGCAUGGAGUCACUCGUGAGAAGAUUGCUCAGAUGUUGGAACGAUAUGAAUAUCAUAUAUCCAUCCCUAUUGUCAUGAAUUCAGUGGUACCUCCCCACAAAAACACUCAAAGACUACCUCUGCAGAGAAGACAUAGGGAGACAAUUUUAAGCAAGAACCCUGGAUACCUGUUAAUAAAAGCAAAGCAGAAGAAAAAGAGAAAAAGAAACAAAACUAUGAAAAGUAAUCGCACAGAAAUUACGAAAAAAAUGUUACAUGGAGUAGCUCAUCAUCCAAUUCCAGGGGACCAUGAUGGAUCAGAAAGUGAAGAGGAUGACUUGGAAGAAGAAAACAAAAAAUCAAUGUGUACAUUCAGCAAAGGCCUGGAGGAUCCAGUAACAGUUUGUGAAGAACAGCCUAAGAGUAAUGAUGAAAGCCUAAAAGAAUCUGCAGGGGUUUCAAGAGAGAGUUUUCUGGUCACUGUGCCUGAGGUCUCAGUGAUGUCAAAUAGUGCGUGGAAAAAUGAAUUGCCUGUAGAAGGUGACAGUUUGCUUUUAAGAGAUGUAAAACCGUUUUGUACAGAAAACCUAACCAAAAAUGCAUUAGAUGACAAGGAAGCAAAGCAAAGGCACAAAGACAAUCCUUGCAGUUUCCUAACGAUAAGCAAUGAUAAAAAUUCCAUCCAGGGAACAGAAGGCAUUUCUGAAGACUAUGAUAUGUCACUGUUAAGCACAGAAAACAAACUGGGAUCAUGCCAAAUUACAUGUGAACCUGACUUGGAAACCAAGCUGGUAUGUUUAAACAGUGAAGAAAAUGAAAUCUGUCAGAAUUGCAGUUCAAAUGUACUUGAUAAUGUGCCUGAUAACACAGAAGGCAAAUGUCCAUUAAAAGCAGAUGGAACUAGCUCCAAUGCCUGGGCUUUUUUUUCAAUUAAGUUAUCUGCUGACGAGUUGCAGAUGGCCUUCAAUACUCAAGUUUCUCUCUCUCCCUGCUCUGAGGAUAAAUGUGUAAGUGAACAAAGAUCUCAAAAAGUGAGGAAACCUGAACAGAUCCACACGAACAGUUCAGCAGAGCUAAACUGCAAUCAGUCAAAUGAGGGAUUGGUAAAGGAAAACCAUAAUGAAACAGAAACUGAGGAAGCUGGCAAUGUAAUAAGCAAUGGUCUGUCUGCAUCUCCAACUGGUAAAGUGCACUUUGAUUCCCUAGUGGAAGCCAGGGCUGCCUUCAUGCAGGGUUCGAGUGAAGUUAAUGUGCCAAUAAAUGAUGCUACACCAGCUACACUGAAGAGGAAGAGAUACAGGAGAAUUGUCAACUUAGCACCAAAGUUUAACCUACCAAGACAGAUCUUUGCUCAUACAGAGGAAGGAAAGGACAUCCUGGUAAGAGAAGAUAUUCCACAAAACAGUGUUUUAGAAGUGAGGCAAAAAUACUUUCUAAGCAAGGACUGUGGAGAAGCACAUGAACAGGACCAUGCAUUGCAGGAAUAUUCCUCACCCACUCCAGAUGCAGAUGCUCUGUUAUGUAAUAUUUCUUACAUUCAUUCCAGACAAUGUUCUCCUAUAUCAAAAUUCGCCUGCAGGGUUUGUGUAGAUUCCAAAACAAAGGAGGAGCAAGCUACAGCUCUUCAGCCACAACAGGUAGUUAAUAAAAAAGAGGACAAGGGUGAACAUGUUUCUUCAGAGGUUACAAAUGGCCAACCAGAUAAUGUGUCUUCUGUUAAAGUUGUUUCUGAAUAUCUAGAAGAUUCUACUACAAUGGCAAGCUGCAGUGAAAAUGCAAAUGGAGCAGAUGACUCUGAGCCAGCAAAGGCAUUACAGCUUGAAGAUUAUCAAGAUGCAGAUGUGAAAUGCAGUUUUCUGGGACUUCCCUUAUCAUUAGGAUUUGCUUUUCAACUUGUGCAGCUCUUUGGUUCUCCAGGUCUUCCACUGGAAUCCUUGUUGCCAGAUGAUUAUAUAGUUCCCCUUGACUGGAAAGUUUCAAAGAUGAUCUAUUUACUGUGGAAGACCUCUGUGGAGGAAAAACAGAAACCAAACAGAUUGCAGAAUGAAGAUGGCUUGAUGGAUGAUAUUAUUAAUCUCAAAGACCUAAAUAAAAAUUCCCAAGAGAAUAAAGACUUAUCUGAAACACUAUCAGACAUGAAGCUAUGUCAAGAUGUGACAGAGGAGAACAUCAUAACCUGCACUGGCUGUCUGGAUGCUGCAUUUCAUCAGUCAUGAGUGACUGUCUUAAAUUCUGCAUGAACAAACAGCAUGGAGAGUAAUGCUGGCUCCAUUAAGGGUCUAAUUAUGAAAAGAACUCUAUGAAUAAUAAAACAGUAUUUCACCAAAUUAUGAAGAAGUGGCAGUUCUGCUUUUCAGUGGAGAAACAGUAGCAAGAGAAACUUCUCGCUUUAAUUCCGCCAUGGAAGGACUUCAGUUGGCCACCAAGGAUUUCAAAUGUGAGGGAUAACCUGGAAGAAAGAAACAACAGUAGAUUUUUUUGGUAUACAUCUUUGGCCACCUCCCCCCAACACUGCUCCGCAGUAUCAACCUCUCUGACCACGUAAUAAUGACCAAAGUUGCAAUAACUUUGUGUAAGGCAAAACAUCAUUUUCUGAAGCCAUUUGGGAUUUACACUUUGUCAGUACAUCCUCAAGCGAGGUAUAAAGAGAUUGAGAGUGGAGACCCAGAGGCAUCUGUCACUGUGGGGUGUGAGCUUCAGGCUGUGGUAUUUCAUUCACUUGUAUCAGGAUCCAGGAUAUUGCCACAGAAGCAGGCAGUGGUGCUCACAUGCAGAGAAUGGUGCUUGUUACGUGUCUUAGCUGCCUCCUUCUGCCUUCACCCUCAGUCAUAAUUGCACCCAGUCUCUUUACAACCUCCGAUGGUAAACGUCUUCAUCUGAUGUUCCUAGUCACUCAAACAGUGGUGCACAACUUCCAUUCUUUUCUCCUGAGACCAAGCCUUAGGCUUUUCCUCAGCUAGACUCAUUUGGGAAUUUGGGAUUACAGAAACAAGAGUAUUUCACUAUGGAACUGAUUCAACCAUGCUGAAAGAAGGGUGUGUAUGGUUUGUAGUAGACUGAGAAGAUAUAUAACGAGCACUGGUAACCAGUGAUUUGAUGUUUGUUAGUGGUGUUGGAAAUAUUUCUGUCUGUAGAGAUAAACAAAUCAUAAUUAAUUUUAAAGAGCAACCUCUGCCAAUUAUGAGGCAUGCAUAAGGCUGGACACUUCCUUGUAGGGAGAGGGAGUGACAGCUGUCACCUCAUUUAACAAUGAAAGUGUGAGAAAAGAUUAAGGAGAAGCAGGAAACUUGGUUGUGUCUACUUGUCAGAAAUAAUACUUCCCACUUGUGCAGUUUGCAGAUCCAGAAUAUUUCUCCAUUUAUUCUUUGAUCUCCUCUUCCUCACCUUUCCCUGCAUUUGUUUAUACAUCAGCUGAAGAGCCAGGAGGGGACUGAACUCAGGCUGAAGCCCCACCAUGGUCAAAUUUGCCGAUGUGUCUCCACUUUCUACUUAAAUACUGAUUCUACAUGAACAAUGUAACAGUUAACAGUGUAUGCAUUUCUAAUUUAAUGUUGUACCACUGGCAAAAUUUCCUGGCUGCACUGUUUGAAUGCAUCUCCCAUGGACAUGUGUGUGUCUUCCUCGGCUGAAAAUGUCCUGUUCUCCUACCAGCAGAACAUUAUAUGAAAAUGUAAAGGGGAGGAGGAAUGGAGUUCAUACUCACCAUAACCACAGCUUCAGACUUCUGUGUUCUACUACUAGUGGCAGCAGACAGGUUAGUUUGAUUUCGGGAAAAUGUCACUCAAGGAUUAAUACUGUCUUCCUACUUCUGUUUAUUGAGUGAGAAAUCUGAAUGGCUCUAUUUUCUGUUACUGAAUCCUGGCCUUCCAUAAUGCUUGAAAUAAAAAUAAUUUUCAAAAUCUCACCGUACUCUUGUAUGGGCAAGUCAUGUUUCAUCUCUUAGUAGAGUGUUGCCAGUUUAAGUUUACUUUAACCCCUCUCCCCAGUAUCUAGGAAUUUCCAAUUUUCUGUGUCUUUUUUUCCUGCCACAUUUUCCCCACUU